RNAcentral lists this non-coding RNA (24 nucleotides) under Mus musculus (house mouse). Lineage: Eukaryota; Metazoa; Chordata; Mammalia; Rodentia; Muridae. The record is from RNAcentral.
GGAAAAACGACACCGACACGGGAG